RNAcentral lists this unclassified non-coding RNA (287 nucleotides) under Hevea brasiliensis (rubber tree). Lineage: Eukaryota; Viridiplantae; Streptophyta; Magnoliopsida; Malpighiales; Euphorbiaceae. The record is from RNAcentral.
GUAACGCAGCGGGACAAACGAAACCCAACAUAUAUAGUUGAUCUGAACAGGAAGCGGGGGAAUGGGGUGCAUGAUGAUGAUGGACGGAUUCAUGGGGGGUAACGAUGGGAAUCUGCAGCGAGAGCGGACGCAGAGACCGUCAACUAGAAUCCUUGUGUGUAAUCAGGGAGUUAGGCAGCCGCAGCAACGGCGGGCGCAGCCUCAGCCGCCUUCUCCGGAUCCUCCGCUUUGGCCUCGCCCUCCUCUGCGGCGUCGUCAUUGGUGUUCACUGCGAUCUUGACCGCGAU